UACGUAGGUGGCGAGCGUUAUCCGGAAUGAUUGGGCGUAAAGCGAGCGCAGGUGGUUUAUUAAGUCUGGUGUAAAAGGCAGUGGCUCAACCAUUGUAUGCAUUGGAAACUGGUAGACUUGAGUGCAGGAGAGGAGAGUGGAAUUCCAUGUGUAGCGGUGAAAUGCGUAGAUGUAUGGAGGAACACCGGUGGCGAAAGCGGCUCUCUGGCCUGUAACUGACACUGAGGCUCGAAAGCGUGGGGAGCAAACAGG
RNAcentral lists this ribosomal RNA (252 nucleotides) under uncultured bacterium. RNAcentral's name for it is "partial 16S ribosomal RNA". It matches the Rfam family "Bacterial small subunit ribosomal RNA", at positions 524 to 776 of the family's 1533-position model. The record is from RNAcentral.